UCAUCUCAAUUGCAAAUCCAUCAGGCAGAGACCGAAUAACAAUAUUUAUAGGAAGGCAUUCAAAAAUACAAUGUGCUUAAAUAACAACAACAAAUGCUUACUACAGUUGCUACAGCGCAGCUUAAUAAAAAAUUAGCCUUACUGACAGUCUUGUCAACAUCUUAAGUAAAUUAUCAUAGCGAUGGUCUUUGGAGAAGAGAACCCACACUCCUUGCUAAAACACCUCCUAUCAUUAAUCUUAAACCACUUGAAGAUUAUGAUGGAAAGAAUGGGAUCAGUAACCAUUAUCAUCUCAAAUUGCUGUUAAAAACUCCGCUGUUUAUUUUUGCAACCAAAGCGAAUGUAUCUGGGAAAUGCAGAAAAGGGAAGAAAGGAAAACACAAGAAAGGCAGAACAAUUGAGGCGAAUCCUGUUGCAACCUCGAUGAUAAACACAUGGAAAAAGCUGUUACUGCUCUGUGGAUUGCUGGAAUUUGGGUAGACGUUAGAAAAAUAAACAAAGAGAUGGCUCCGCACCAGUUCUGUAAGCGCACCGGUACACUCAAGGAAAGGAUUUGGCAGAGAAGGGAGAGCCUGCUGAUUUAGGGACACCCGACCCGAAACGUUAUCAACGGAUCUUUACACCUUCAAUGAAUCCCCAAAUCGCUGCGAGCCGGGCACACGCCUGAAUACAAUCAAAACGCGGGUUUUUGAAGUUAUUCUUUCAAAACGCAGAAGUUUGGAUGAAGCCUUGAAACAGCACCGUGCACCCCGGCCGGCCCUCCUCUCCCCCCCUCCCCUCCCCUCCUCGAAAGGGUGCCAUUAAAGCGGGGCGAUGCAAAUUAAAA
Molecule: long non-coding RNA, 826 nt
Organism: Calidris pugnax (ruff)
Lineage: Eukaryota; Metazoa; Chordata; Aves; Charadriiformes; Scolopacidae
Exons: 2
Source: RefSeq, a predicted model, not a curated record